RNAcentral lists this ribosomal RNA (497 nucleotides) under uncultured bacterium. Its description in RNAcentral is "partial 16S ribosomal RNA". It matches the Rfam family "Bacterial small subunit ribosomal RNA", at positions 28 to 507 of the family's 1533-position model. The record is from RNAcentral.
GAUGAACGCUGGCGGCGUGCCUAAUACAUGCCAGUCGAGCGAACGGACGAGAAGCUUGCUUCUCUGAUGUUAGCGGCGGACGGGUGAGUAACACGUGGAUAACCUACCUAUAAGACUGGGAUCACUUCGUGAAACCGGAGCUAAUACCGGAUAAUAUUUUGAACCGCAUGGUUCAAAAGUGAAAGACGGUCUUGCUGUCACUUAUAGAUGGUUCCUCGCUGCAUUAGCUAGUUGGUAAUGUAACGGCUUACCAAGGCAACGAUGCAUAGCCGACGUGAGAGGCUGAUCGCCCACACUAGAACAGACGCGAGGACCAUAAUCAUACGAGAAGGAGCAGUAGGGAAUAUGCGGCAACAGGCGAGAUCCUGACGGAGCAACGCCACGCGCGUGAAGGAGGUCCUAGGCUCGGAAAGAUCUGUUAUUAGGGAAAAACAUAUGUGGAAGGAACUGUGCACAUCUUGACGGUACCUACUCAGAAAGCCACGGCUAAAUACGUG